GGGAGGAAAGCCCUCGGUCCCCUCGGCUCCGGGGGCGCCCGGCUGGGCCCAGCUCCGCGGGCGCGCCCCCGUCACCCCCUCCCAGGCCAGUUCAGGGCAGCGCCAAGGGGCCGCGGGCUCAGGCUGAGGCCUCCUCCUGCCUAGGCGUCUGGCGUCCGUUUGUCUGUCCGAGGCCUCAGCGCAGGUAAAGCGCGGGGCUGGGGGGCGCAGAGCUCCAUUGGGCUGGGAACCAGCGCGUCUCGUGCCCUUGGGGGACCCGCCUGCCCGAGCCGCCUGCUAAGCCUCCCGCUCCCCUCCACGCUGGAGCGCGCGGAGCCCGGUCUGCUCGGAACUCCACUCUGCGGGAGCGGAGGCCGGCGCCAGCCCGGGAAGCCGCGCAGGGGGCGGGAGGCCGAGCGCGAGGCCCUUGGCGCCGGGCCUCCGCGGCCAGGCCGGGCAGGUGAGCAGUCUCCGUGCCUCCCGGUUGGCGUUCCCCUCAACGCGUGCGGUCCCGCCGGGGCCCACUGUCUCUCCGUCCGUCUGUCUCUCAACUUUUCCCAUCCUUUAGCUUACGAUUCUUCAUCAACUCGUAAAAUGAGAUCGCCGCGGAGCUCGAGCCUAUUUGGCGUCUCCGGAGACUAGCAAGACCCUCUGAAAGACACCGCGUCCCCAGGGAUAAUCCCCCGUGUCCGGCAAAGCUGCCCCGCUCGAGCGCGAACCCUGGGACCCAGCGCGGGAGGCAGACCAGCAGCUGGCCGCUGGGCUGUGAACGCCAGGACCGAGCGGAAGCUUCCCGCCCGGCCGCGAUCGGUGCCGCGGCUCUCAGGGAAGUGGCUACGCGCGUCCCUCGGGAAAGCAGAGUAAUUUGCCUGUUUCUGGCAAAUCUGAAGAUUGGAAUGCCACACGGCCCAGCCAUUCCUUUUCCAGGCAUAUGAGAAGCCCUCACACAUGAGCAAGAAAGAGAUGUGGCCAAAGACAUUCAUGGAGCCCUGUUUGUUAAAACAGAGAAAAAGAAAUUAAGAAAUACCCAGCCUGGGCAACAUAGGGAGACCCUGUCUCUACUAAAAAUAAAAAUUUAUACUUGGGAGGCUAAGGCAGGAGGAUCACUUGAGCUCAGAAGAUCGAAGCUUGCAAUCAGCUGUGAUCGUGUCACUGCAUGCCAGCCUGGGUGACAGAGAGUGAGACCCUGUAUCAAUAAAGAAAGAAAGAAAGAAAAGAAACAGAAAUAAACUUAGGACACAGCAGACGGCCCAUCCUGAGGGUACCACAUAGCAGAUGCUGGGACCUUUUUUCAGGUGGACGCCACAUGACCUUUCCUUUGCAGGCAUCCAUGCUGAUGUUCACAAGGCACACAGCAUUUCAGCUGAAGAAAGAACUGGCAGGAUUUUCAUCACGAAAGGGCACUGUCUAUCGUUUAUGAAAAUGAAGCAUAUGAAGUAAAAGUUUGGAAACAGAUGGAAUUAAAUCUUCUGACAGAUUUUAAAAUAAGAUCUAAAAAAGAGCAAGACAUGCUCUUGGAUGGGGAAACUUAAUAUCAGAAAAAUGUCAAUUUUCCCAUUUUUUCCAUAUAAAUUUAAUGUAAUUCAAAUUCCAUUACCA
Molecule: long non-coding RNA, 1578 nt
Filed under: Homo sapiens (human)
Lineage: Eukaryota; Metazoa; Chordata; Mammalia; Primates; Hominidae
Description: GATA2 antisense RNA 1
Source: RNAcentral